AGUGAUAUUAUAAGAUAUGAUACUAAUAUUAUUUAUUUGGAAAAUAAAUAAUACGGAAUUCAUCGAGAAUCGAAUAAUUAAAGGAUUAGUGGACUAAAUUGGACGAAAGAAAAGUUAGAAAGUGAAGGUUAAGGAGGUGGCAACUUCAAGGACCUAAGUGGACCUUUAACCCACUUAUUAUCAUCAAUUAUGAAUGAUUAUUCAUUCAUUCAAAGCAAAAUUUGCAGCAAAAGAAAGGAAGAACCCGUAACUCCCUUACCGCAAAAUCAACAAAUCUUCUAAACCCCAUAACUUUCUCAAUUUUGAUCCGAAUUCAGCGAUUCUCGCGGCCACGGAACGAGGAAACGAUUAUCUACAGAUCUAUGGCUUCAAUUUGAGGUGUUAUUGAGCUUGAUUAUGGAAUUUUGAUGAUGAAUUGGAGCCUAGAACUAUUCGGCAUAGAGAUUUUAUCCAAGCGUUAUCGAAUUUGCGUAGACUCGAAGGAGCGACUAUCGAUCAGGCUCGAGGCAAACGGAUCGAGAUAUUGUCAAGCUUAUUUGAAGAAUUUGGAUAGCAAGUGGGAUAGCAUGAUAUGAAUUGAAGAGUCAAUCUUCCGAAGUUCUAAUUCUCGGAAGUGAUUUGUACAAGAAGAAAAAGAAUGUUUUCAUUCUAGCAGUCCGCAGUAUACUAUUGCAUAACGCGUUUUAACUCUGAUAUUAUUUGUAAAUGGGGUCACAUGUAUUUUAAUAUAUGAAAUAUGUUUUGAUUUGCGAAAAAUUUACACAGGUUUUUAGGCUUGCUACGGGAUUUGGAGCUACCACUCCCAUUCCCUAGCGCCGGUCGCGACUCAUAAAUUUGGGUCGUGACAAAGGUGGUAUCAGAGCAAUGGUUUAGAUUCAUAGGCCAUUGCCUGUAUACGAUUGAUGUCUGUAGUUCCUAGGUAUGAUGUCACUAGGUUAAGCUAAGAACUACUGCGGAUUAUAGGGAUUUCCAGUCAUGUCUUUUGAACGUUAUCAUCGUUUUUAUCGAGUUUUGAAACGUUUUACAAAAAUGUCCUCUUCUAUAUGUGCUUUUAGGAGUCGAGUUAGAUGUGGGUAUUACACAAUCUAUGAACCGUGUUUACUCGAAUGAGCAAUACGCUUUCGAGUAUAUAUAGUCUGCGAAGAGUUGUACACUCUCGAGACUCAUAUUGUAUAAAAAUAUCGCUAUGGAUUAUGAUCGAGUUGAUUGAAUAUUAUAUGAUUGAUGAAUAAGAUAUGAAUUGUUUUGCAGUGCGAUCACUCAGGAGAGUGAUAUGCUCACAGGUACGUAAACCUGUGGUAAUUUAUAUAAUACAUGAAAUGUGUAUACCAUGAUGGAUUGCUGUGAAUAGGAUUUGUGCCUUAUAAUUGAGUGUUGCUUAAUUUGCUAAGUCCGUGGCGAACCAAAAGCUCGCAAGACUUAAAAUACGCGAAAUAGCCGAAGAAAAUCUAGGUGACACUGAUUGUUUUGGGAUUUGAUCAACAUAUAUUGUUUAUAGAUAUGCAUAGAAUACGAAUAGAACAUGUACGUUAUGCUUAGAUAUUCUUGAUGCUUGGUUAAGUCUAUGUGAGCGGAAUGCACGCAGGACUUAAGAUACAAUGCGUAACCAAGGAAAAUCUAGGAGACACAUAUUUUCUUUGAACUCGGUCAACAUAGAUUGCUUAUAGCCACGAUAGU
Long non-coding RNA from Mercurialis annua (annual mercury), 1677 nucleotides. RefSeq lists it as uncharacterized. The record is from RefSeq and is a predicted model, not a curated record. The transcript is spliced from 4 exons. Lineage: Eukaryota; Viridiplantae; Streptophyta; Magnoliopsida; Malpighiales; Euphorbiaceae.